Camelus dromedarius (Arabian camel) is the source of this 534-nucleotide long non-coding RNA. RefSeq lists it as uncharacterized. The transcript is spliced from 3 exons. Lineage: Eukaryota; Metazoa; Chordata; Mammalia; Artiodactyla; Camelidae. The record is from RefSeq and is a predicted model, not a curated record.
CUCUGUCCGAUGCCUUGAGAUUUGGGGAAGGGUUUACAACUGCGGAGGCGAGAUGUCAGGUCCUCUGUGCUCUUCCUGAGUGCCCUGGCCUUACCCAUUCCCCCAGCCCCCUCUGGGCAGCCAAGCCCAGGAGCUGGGCCACCGGCGAUUGUGCUGAUCAAUAAUCCACCUCACCCAAAGUCCGGGGGUAAGAGCGGCCAGCACAACUGGUUGUAGACUCUGAAGUCAGGUCCUUGGAGGAAUUCCUCACUGAACAAUGUUUUGGACCUUUUAUUUUUCUCUAUAGCCUCCAGCUGAAGAAACAGAUUGCCUUAGGUACAUGAAAGGUGAGGACACCUACUAUCCCCAUGGAGCCCAGGUGGGGCUGGGAGUCUGCUGUUUGUACAGCCGGUGGGCUCGUGUUGCUUUGGGCAUCCCUGUGCCUGAAUUCCUGCAGUACACUCGGUGCCUGUUUCCUAAUCUGCAAAACUGGAAUGAUGUUAACCAUCCCGCAGUGCAUUCCAUGGUGCAUCCUCGCCUAGAAUUGAGUGGAAG